GGGGGCGCAAAGGUUUCGACGGGAUUGGAUGAGCUGAUAGUAGCAUGCCGAGGAUUCUAGUUGGCCUCGUAAAAAAACUGGAAAAAAACAAAUGCAGAAGAAUCAUAUUCUUAUGCAAUGGCUGCCUAGUCUAAAAACUAGGUGACCACGGUUCGGCUGUCGCCGCCUUAAAGGCAGUCGGAUUGCAAUACUCUGAGGCUGGGUCUCCCUGAUGUCUGGGCGGGGAGGCCGAGAAAAGCCAGGCUAGCGACCCGACCAACCGAUUCCUAGGGUGGGUUGGGAAGCGAAAUACAAAUCAGGAAAAAAGCAUGUAGGAGCGUUCGGUAAGUUGAUUUCGGACGCGGGUUCGAUUCCCGCCGCCUCCACCA
This 368-nucleotide transfer-messenger RNA is filed under the name Fibrobacterota bacterium. It matches the Rfam family "transfer-messenger RNA". Rfam says of the family: Bacterial tmRNA, also known as 10Sa RNA or SsrA, is named for its dual tRNA and mRNA-like properties. The record is from RNAcentral. Lineage: Bacteria; Pseudomonadati; Fibrobacterota.